This 450-nucleotide ribosomal RNA is filed under the name uncultured bacterium. RNAcentral describes it as "bacterial SSU rRNA". It matches the Rfam family "Bacterial small subunit ribosomal RNA", at positions 29 to 524 of the family's 1533-position model. The record is from RNAcentral.
AAUGAACGCUGGCGGCAUGCCCAACACAUGCAAGUCGAACGAAGGCUUCGGCCUUAGUGGCGCACGGGUGCGUAACGCGUGGGAAUCUGCCCUUGGGUUCGGAAUAACUCAGAGAAAUUUGAGCUAAUACCGGAUGAUGACGUAAGUCCAAAGAUUUAUCGCCCAAGGAUGAGCCCGCGUAGGAUUAGCUUGUUGGUGAGGUAAAAGCUCACCAAGGCGACGAUCCUUAGCUGGUCUGAGAGGAUGAUCAGCCACACUGGGACUGAGACACGGCCCAGACUCCUACGGGAGGCAGCAGUGGGGAAUAUUGGACAAUGGGCGAAAGCCUGAUCCAGCAAUGCCGCGUGAGUGAUGAAGGCCUUAGGGUUGUAAAGCUCUUUUACCCGGGAAGAUAAUGACCGUACCGGGAGAAUAAGCCCCGGCUAACUCCGUGCCAGCAGCCGCGGUAAU